UGAAUUAAUUCAACAAACAUUUUCUGGGGCACCGACAAUCUGCCCAGUGCACCAGGCUAGGUAUCUGAUACAAAGAUAAUGAAAACAGUCUCUUGGAACCUAAUUGGGGUCCUCAUUUGACCAGGAAUUUCUUUCGUCCCGUUUUAAGCCAACCAGUUUUGUCCGGACAAGACAAAAACAACUUGGGCUGCUUUAGAGAAGCCCAGCUCAGUGUAGACAAUAGCUGCCCAGCCUCUGAAAGGGGCUGAUUGGAUUAUGUGGCAAAUGGAGGUGCAAGGAUGACUUGGACGGUGACAAAUGAAGUGGGCGGAGACCUGCUUUGAGUUAAUCCAGGCUAUUAGGAGGGGACCUUUUGUCUUCCAGAGACUGGCAGGAGCUUUUACCAGUGGUUUUUACAUCCUUAAUGUUCAGGACGAAUAAUUUAUGGUCAGUGAAAAUCCAGGCCCCAGUGAGAUUCGAGUGGGCUGUAAAAUCGAGAGUCCUGCUCCCAGUGAGUAAUGGUAGUGAAUGUUUCUGUCACUUUUUGCAACCGUCCAUUCAUUUGAUCCUCACAACUCCCUGUCCUGAGCCAGGACCGGCCACUGCCACUCCCAGGGAAACAGAGGCUGUCAAGAGGCUCCACAGAUUGGGCCCCACUGGAUCAUUGAACCCCUGUUCCCUGAGUUCUAGAGGAAGAAUUGUACCUGUCUCAGUCCCGGCCACCUCCAGAAGGCCUCCCUCUGCAUUUCUGACUUUGCUGUGCCGGCAGCCUGGAGCCUCCCAGGUCCCUGCUGUCAUCUUUUCUAGCCACUACAGUCUCUGUCUUUCCUUUCACAGCCAAGCUUCUUGAAAGGCCUGUCUACACUUGCUGUCUUCCUUCCUCACCUCCAAUUUCCUCUUCAACCCACUGCUUCCUGACUCGCUCUACUCCGUGGAAGCACGCUCACAAAGGGCUAAUCUCGGGCCUUGUCGAAGGAAGAGGCUGCAGACGUUAAUGAGGUUAGCUGCUGGAUUCCAGUAUUCGUCGCAUAAGGAUCCUUCUUUGUCUGCGAAGGAAAAACACACUGAUUAUCAUAAUGAGUUCCUGACCUGGCCAUCCCGGGGUGCCCUUGACCAGCCCCGUGUCUCCUCAGGGUGUCCCAGCACCAGCCUGGCACAGAGUGGGGCUCAGUUAGAGUAUGUGGGAUGUUGGUUUCGCCAGGCACGUGGGCCGUGGCCCGGCUGGGUCGGCUGAAGAACUGCGGAUGGAAGCUGCGGAAGAGGCCCUGAUGGGGCCCACCAUCCCGGACCCAAGUCUUCUUCCUGGCGGGCCUCUCGUCUCCUUCCUGGUUUGGGCGGAAGCCAUCACCUGGAUGCCUACGUGGGAAGGGACCUCGAAUGUGGGACCCCAGCCCCUCUCCAGCUCGAAAUCCCUCCACAGCCACGGGGACACCCUGCACCUAUUCCCACGGGACAGGCUGGACCCAGAGACUCUGGACCCGGGGCCUCCCCUUGAGUAGAGACCCGCCCUCUGACUGAUGGACGCCGCUGACCUGGGGUCAGACCCGUGGGCUGGACCCCUGCCCACCCCGCAGGAACCCUGAGGCCUAGGGGAGCUGUUGAGCCUUCAGUGUCUGCAUGUGGGAAGUGGGCUCCUUCACCUACCUCACAGGGCUGUUGUGAGGGGCGCUGUGAUGCGGUUCCAAAGCACAGGGCUUGGCGCACCCCACUGUGCUCUCAAUAAAUGUGUUUCCUGUCUUAAC
RNAcentral lists this long non-coding RNA (1721 nucleotides) under Homo sapiens (human). Its description in RNAcentral is "maternally expressed 3". The record is from RNAcentral. Lineage: Eukaryota; Metazoa; Chordata; Mammalia; Primates; Hominidae.